UUUAGAAUGGCCAUAAGAAAUUUUGGGAACUGAAAUAAGAAUGAUGUCACAAUGAGUUAGAGUUAGAAUGCUGUGGAAAAGUUUCUGAGAAGGGAGAGAAAUGGAGGGAAGUGAGACAUGACUAAGAUGUAGGUAAAAAGGAAUAAAGGUUUUCCCUGCUCAAAACUCUCAUGAAGAAAUUAAUGGAGAAGGAAAGCACAAAGCAUGCUUGAAAGAAAGCAAUGAAAGGAGGAGGAUGACUGGAGUUUCACAGCUGCUUUAAUACAACUGGUUUCACUUAGAGAAGAUGACAUGUUGAAAUGUGAUGAGUAAAGAUGUGCAGAAUGCUUCCCCAGUAAUUGGAAUUCAAGCAACAAUAACACUGGGCAUUGUUGGAUCCUUUACAACUUUAAGAAAAAGGUCUCCUUCCUUCAUUUUGGAAAAAAGCGCACAUAUUAUAGAACAUCAUGACUUUAUUCAACAUUAAAAAGAGAAAUUAAAAAUUAUUUCACCUGAGUGCAUCUGCAUUUGAAUCAAGCAUAUGCUUAAGUUUAUGCAACUUCUAACGCACAAUUUCUUCUUCCAACUUUCUAUUGCUAUAAAAUGGCAGGAUUUUAGAGCUGAA
RNAcentral lists this long non-coding RNA (604 nucleotides) under Homo sapiens (human). RNAcentral's name for it is "HSALNT0305608". Lineage: Eukaryota; Metazoa; Chordata; Mammalia; Primates; Hominidae. The record is from RNAcentral.